Molecule: ribosomal RNA, 453 nt
Filed under: uncultured bacterium
Lineage: Bacteria
Description: bacterial SSU rRNA
Rfam family: Bacterial small subunit ribosomal RNA
Source: RNAcentral
CGGCGUGCUUAACACAUGCAGUACGAACGGUGACGGAGAGCUUGCUCUCCUGAUCAGUGGCGAACGGGUGAGUAACACGUGGGCAACCUGCCCCAGACUUCGGGAUAACGCUUCGAAAGAGGUGCUAAUACCGGAUACGAGCCCCUUGGGCAUCCUUGGAGUUGGAAAGUUUUUCGGUCUGGGAUGGGCCCGCGGCCUAUCAGCUAGUUGGUGAGGUAACGGCUCACCAAGGCGACGACGGGUAGCCGGCCUGAGAGGGCGACCGGCCACACUGGGACUGAGACACGGCCCAGACUCCUACGGGAGGCAGCAGUGGGGAAUAUUGCGCAAUGGGCGAAAGCCUGACGCAGCAACGCCGCGUGAGGGAUGACGGCCUUCGGGUUGUAAACCUCUUUCAGCAGGGAAGAAGCGAAAGUGACGGUACCUGCAGAAGAAGCACCGGCUAACUACGUG